UACGGGGGGGGCAAGCGUUGUUCGGAAUCACUGGGCGUAAAGGGAGCGUAGGCGGCGCGGUAAGUCGGAUGUGAAAUCCCGAGGCUCAACCUCGGAACUGCAUCUGAUACUGCCGUGCUAGAGUAAUGGAGGGGUAGCUGGAAUUCUCGGUGUAGCAGUGAAAUGCGUAGAUAUCGAGAGGAACACUCGUGGCGAAAGCGAGCUACUGGACAUUUACUGACGCUGAGGCUCGAAGGCUAGGGGAGCGAAAGGG
RNAcentral lists this ribosomal RNA (253 nucleotides) under uncultured bacterium. RNAcentral describes it as "partial 16S ribosomal RNA". It matches the Rfam family "Bacterial small subunit ribosomal RNA", at positions 524 to 776 of the family's 1533-position model. The record is from RNAcentral.